Molecule: ribosomal RNA, 253 nt
Filed under: uncultured bacterium
Lineage: Bacteria
Description: partial 16S ribosomal RNA
Rfam family: Bacterial small subunit ribosomal RNA
Source: RNAcentral
UACGGGGGGGGCAAGCGUUGUUCGGAAUUACUGGGCGUAAAGGGCUCGUAGGCGGCCAACUAAGUCAGACGUGAAAGCCCCCGGCUCAACUGGGGAGGGUCAUUCGAUACUGAUCGACUCGAAGGCAGGAGAGGGUAGUGGAAUUCCCGGUGUAGUGGUGAAAUGUGUAGAUAUCGGGAGGAACACCAGUGGCGAAGGCGACUACCUGGCCUGUUCUUGACGCUGAGGCGCGAAAGCUAGGGGAGCAAACGGG